Molecule: long non-coding RNA, 280 nt
Organism: Gossypium arboreum
Lineage: Eukaryota; Viridiplantae; Streptophyta; Magnoliopsida; Malvales; Malvaceae
Exons: 2
Source: RefSeq, a predicted model, not a curated record
UUGUAUUUGAAUAGUUAGAUUAACGUGUUAGUAAUCCAAUUGUAGGCGGUUCGUGUGUGGAUCUUGUCAGCAUAUUGUCGCAAACAGGAAAUCUCCAACCAUAGUGGGCUUGGAGCUGUGAGGGAAUUCGGAGUGGCCACCCGUUCUGAAAGUUUGAUUUUCUUCUAGUGAACUGGACAUCCUUUUAUUUACGUUUGAAGUUUUGGGUUUUUAAAUGUAAUAAGGCCGCUUAAUUAUUUUUGAUGGUUUUAAUAUGUAUUACUAAGAUAGGUAUUACUUA